Long non-coding RNA from Syngnathus acus (greater pipefish), 283 nucleotides. RefSeq lists it as uncharacterized. The record is from RefSeq and is a predicted model, not a curated record. Lineage: Eukaryota; Metazoa; Chordata; Actinopteri; Syngnathiformes; Syngnathidae. The transcript is spliced from 2 exons.
CUGGGCUAGAUGGAAAGUGGGGAGCGGGAAGAUGGGUAGGAAAUAAGGCAGGGAGGAAAGCCUAAAGGUGGAGGAGGAAGAAGGAAGAUAGGUAAGCGCUGUGGUGGGAUAGAGCAAGCAUAGGUAGGAAGCAAGCUUUGAGGCGAGGAAACCAGUGUAGCAAAGAAGCACCCAGGAACAAUCAAGUCCACGCAUCCAUUGUUUGACACAUUCAUGUCUUCACUGUACUACAAACUUGAUUAUGAUGUGCGUGAGUUUGAAUAAUGAAUUACACGUGACGUCA